RNAcentral lists this ribosomal RNA (468 nucleotides) under uncultured bacterium. RNAcentral describes it as "partial 16S ribosomal RNA". It matches the Rfam family "Bacterial small subunit ribosomal RNA", at positions 28 to 507 of the family's 1533-position model. The record is from RNAcentral.
GACGAACGCUGGCGGCGUGCCUAACACAUGCAAGUCGAACGCUACUGCCCUGCUUUUGUGGGGUGCUCGAGUGGCGAACGGGUGGGUAACACGUGAGUAACCUGCCCUUGACUUUGGGAUACCGUGAGGAAACUGGCGCUAAUACCGGAUCGGAUCCCCUGCUGCAGGGUGUGGGUCGGAAAGUAUCGGCGGUUGGGGAUGGCCGCGCGGGUUAUCAGCUUGUUGGUGGGGGAGUGGCUUACCAAGGCUUGGACUGGUAGCCGGCCUGGGAGGGUGACCGGCGCCAUGAGGACUGAGAGACGGACCAGACGCCAACGGGAGGCAGCAGUGGAGAAUCUUACCCAAUGGGCGGAAGUCUGAUGCAGCAACGCCGCGUGCGGGAUGACGGCCUGCGGGUUGUAAACCGCUUCCGCCUGUGACGAAGCGUGAGUGACGGUAAUUGGUAAAGAAGCACCGGCUAACUACGUG